AUGGCGCGGCUGCGGCGACUCCGCUUACUCGCAAUCGUUCAGCUCGCCGUGGCGAUCUGGCUGGCGGCCACGAGUAGCUACCAGUGCAAGCUCGACGCCGUCCCGCCACCGCCGCCGCCGCCGACCGUGCUGGUGGACGGCGGCCUCCGUGCUGAGUUUUUCUUUUUUUACGCCAAGUCACCAAAUUUCUCGAUCUUGGGCGCAGUUAAUCAGCCUGCCGUCCCUGGUCUGUCCCUGCAGGUGGCUGCGCCCUCAAACUCGGAGAAGGAAGGAGAGGGCGGUGAGGCUCAGCAGCGACGGCUGGUUUGGCACAGCUCCGGAUCUAGCCGAGCUAAGUUCUUCUCUCACUCUCACUCCACCUGUGAUGACGAUGACCAGCACGCCGAUAGCUGACGGUGCCACA
Molecule: long non-coding RNA, 403 nt
Filed under: Oryza sativa Indica Group (long-grained rice)
Lineage: Eukaryota; Viridiplantae; Streptophyta; Magnoliopsida; Poales; Poaceae
Description: lncRNA OsZS97_02G008390
Source: RNAcentral